Molecule: ribosomal RNA, 376 nt
Filed under: uncultured organism
Description: partial 16S ribosomal RNA
Rfam family: Bacterial small subunit ribosomal RNA
Source: RNAcentral
GAGGGGUGCAAGCGUUAUUCGGAAUCAUUGGGCGUAAAGGGUACGCAGGCGGCAUGUUAAGUCAAUCGUUAAAUCUUCCGGCCUAACUGGAAGCUUGCGGUAGAUACUGGCGUGCUAGAGGAUGAGAGAGAGAAGUGGAAUUCUCGGAGUAGCGGUAAAAUGCUUGGAUCUCGAGAGGAACACCAAUGGCGAAGGCAGCUUCUUGGCUCAUUCCUGACGCUCAGGUACGAAAGCGUGGGGGGAGCAAACAGGAUUAGAUACCCUGGUAGUCCACGCCCUAAACGAUGAUCACUAGACGUCAGCUUUGUUUUACAGAGUUGGUGUCGUAGCUAACGCGUUUAAGUGAUCCCGCCUGGGGACUACGGUCGCAAGAUUA